RNA transcript from Sebastes umbrosus (honeycomb rockfish), 8508 nucleotides. It is a transcript of the gene named potassium voltage-gated channel subfamily C member 1-like, with no coding region annotated. The transcript is spliced from 6 exons. NCBI's taxonomy places the organism in Eukaryota, Metazoa, Chordata, Actinopteri, Perciformes, Sebastidae. The record is from RefSeq and is a predicted model, not a curated record.
GACUCCUCCUAUCCUCUCCUCUCUCCUCCUCCUCUCAGUUGGCUGUGUGACUCCUUGCCGGGACGGUAUAACAGUAGCCUACAGAGCAGCGGUACCGGAGGUGGAUGGGGACGGACAGUAGCCGCAGCAGCAGCAGCAGCAGCAGCAGCAGCAGUCGGGCGCACCGACCGAAGCAUGCUCCAGCGCAGCCAUGACUUGCUCGGCGUCAGAUAGCGAAAAGAUCGUGAUCAACUGCGGCGGGAUCCGACACGAAACCUACCGGAGCACCCUGAAGACGCUGCCGGGAACGCGCUUGUCCUGGCUGACCGAGCCCGACGCCUUCAGCAACUUCGACUACGACCCCAAGUCCGACGAGUUCUUCUUCGACCGCCACCCGGCCACCUUUGCCUUCAUCCUCAACUACUACCGCACCGGCAAGCUCCACUGCCCCAACGAUGUGUGCGGGCCGCUGUUCGAGGAGGAGCUCGCCUUCUGGGGCAUCGACGAGACGGACGUGGAGGCGUGCUGUUGGAUGAACUACCGGCAGCACCGCGACGCGGAGGAAGCUCUGGACAGCUUCGAGCAGCCGGAGCCGGACGCGCCUGAGGAUGACCCGGCGCUCACCGGCGGAGCGGAUGGAGACCUGAAGCGGCUGUGCAUGCAGGAGGACUGCCGCAGGCAGUCGCGGUGGGACCAGUGGCGGCCCUUUAUGUGGGCGCUGUUCGAGGACCCCUACUCCUCCAAAUACGCACGGUAUGUGGCGUUCGGCUCGCUUUUCUUCAUCCUGCUCUCCAUCUCCACCUUCUGCCUGGAGACCCACGAAGCCUUCAACACCAUCUACAACAAAACAGAGAAUGUCACCGUUGGCAACGUGACGCAUGAGGAGAUAGUGUAUGAGGUAGUCACAGAUGGCUGGCUGACAUAUGUGGAAGGCGUCUGCGUCAUUUGGUUCACCGUUGAGGUGUUUGCCCGUGUCGUCUUCUGCCCCGACAAGGCAGAGUUCUUCCGCAGCGCCCUCAACAUCAUAGACUUUGUGGCCAUCGUGCCAUUUUACCUGGAGGUGGCGCUGAGCGGCCUCUCCUCCAAAACAGCCAAAGACGUGCUGAGCUUCCUGCGUGUGGUGCGCUUUGUACGUAUCCUGCGUAUUUUCAAGCUGACUCGUCACUUUGUCGGUUUGCGGGUCCUGGGCCACACUCUGCGGGCGAGCACCAACGAGUUCCUGUUGCUCAUCAUCUUCCUGGCGCUGGGCGUCCUCAUCUUUGCUACCAUGAUCUACUAUGCUGAACGCAUCGGUGCCGACCCUGACGAUCCAACAGCCGCGACCCACACCAGCUUCAAGAACAUCCCCAUUGGGUUCUGGUGGGCUGUGGUGACCAUGACCACGCUGGGCUACGGGGAUAUGUACCCUGAGACAUGGUCAGGAAUGCUGGUGGGUGCCCUCUGCGCCUUGGCCGGUGUGCUGACCAUCGCCAUGCCUGUGCCCGUCAUCGUCAACAACUUCGGCAUGUACUACUCCCUGGCGAUGGCCAAGCAGAAGCUCCCCAAGAAGAGGAACAAGCACAUCCCCCGAGCGCCACAGCCCGGCAGCCCCAACUACUGCAAGCCAGAUGCCCUGGCCAUGGCAACCGCCUCGCCGCACAGGCUGAUGGGCAAUGUGCUCGGGCCGGGCGUGGUGGGAUCCGGCAGCAUGAUGGGUACUGGAGACUGCCCACUGGCACAGGAGGAGAUCAUCGAGAUCAACAGGGCAGAUUCCAAGCAGAAUGGCGAUGCGGCGGCUAAUGCGGCGGCCCUGGCCAAUGAGGACUGCCCUACCAUCGACCAGGUCCUUGGGGACGAGCGUAGCCCGGCCACCGGGGGCCUCGGCUCCACCACCAGCCGCGAGCGCUACCCGCACGACCGGGCCUGCUUCCUGCUGAGCGCCGGGGAGUUCCAGCGCACGACGGACGGGAACGUUCGAAAAGAGAACUGUUCUGACAGCCCUGCGCUAAUCAGAUAUAUGCAAAAAGAAGCAGUAACUGUGAACUAAUGCUAAGACAUGAAAAAAAAAAAAUCCAGCUUCUUCCAUCAUUGUCUCGACUCCUCUUCUGCAAGAGAGAGGAGAGACCAUGCUCCUCCCCCAAGAUACCUCCUCGCCAAAAUCCCCCUAGCCAUCAUCUCAUUGGUCCGCUUCUUCAUUAUCUGUCCGUGACUUCAUCCUGCUCAUGUCAUGUUUCAUUUCCUUCUGUCUUGUUCUAUUCUCUAUACACUCGCUGCAGUAAGUUCAACAGAAGGAUACCUCUGCAGUGUGAAAUGGCAAUGAUUAAAUGCAAGUUUCCACAAAGGAUGAAGAUCAGGGCCAGAUUAACCUGCCAGGGGGGCCUCGGGCAAAACUGAGCUGCGGGCCCCUUAUGAGCAAGCCCACUCCCCACCCCCCUCCCACCCCCCCCUUUUUUUUUUUUCUCUGUAAUGACGUCAGGAAACACUUUCCGCUUCACAGGAAUUUAUUUCCUCCAUGGCAGCUUCCAUUAACUGGGCUUCCUAAACAUUUUUAGUCCUGACUAACUCUAGAAGACACAUAAAUGGACAUGAAGAAUUUUGCUAGCCUAGCAACAUUAAGGCUACAAACAACCCAUAAUGCAACACUCUCUGUAGGAACCUACUGUGCAAUACGUCAGACCGGCAAUACGUCAUCCAGAGUAGGCUUGCAUGACCACGCCCCUUUUUAGGGGGAAACCAAUCCCGUGUCCCCUCGUAGACGGUAACAGAGUAAACAGAAUAAGUUGAAACAUGUCUCCAAACUUCUACUUUAAGAGUAAUAACGCUAUGCUGAAGAGUUGCUGCGUAGUUGGUUGCACCACAAAUAUAUCCAAAAAUGCUGAACUCCGAUUUGUUCCCCUGCAGUGUUCUAAAAAAGAUCUAAUAGAGGGGCUUUAUGGCUCCAAGCAAUAGACCAACUGCACUCCCUUUUUGGGGGAAAGAAACUCGCUGUCACAGGCAAUCAACCUUAAUUUAUUACGGUAUUGCGCACACUAAGGUUCAAGAUUAUCUAUAUCACUGUCAAAUAAAGGCAAAAGCCAAAGAAAAAUACGUCAAAUUGCAUUGAAGUCUAUGAGAUCUUGUGUUUUCUAUCCCCUAAAAGGGGGCGUGACCUUGACUUUUUGCGAAGUACCCGUAUGUGCCGGUCUGAUACGUAACUUAAAUAUAAUGUGACCUCCCCCACACUUUCUCAAACAUAAUAAUCUUGUUUUAUAUUCUGGCCAAUCCAGUAUCAACUGCCAAAUCAAUUAAAAAUGCUGGGAAGUUAAAAGACCCCAUGGGAUCAUUACUUCCUUUGUGUGACGUAAUUCCCGUUGAAACAAGUCAGCGGGUGUGAACCAGCUGGUUAUGCUGUCAAAGACAGAUUGAUUUGACAGGAUGGUCAAAAAGGCGAGAUCAUUGAAAACUUUCUGAUUGUGGACAUGGCAGGGAUCGUGCUGAGAAGUUCAGUUCAGUUUAUAUUGUGCUGAGACGACUAUCUCCAGAAGUGCGUUCAUGUGGGUUUUCAGAGAAACCCACGCCUAGUAUAAAAGAUCCAAACUUUUCCUCGUCACGAUUCCACGUCAGGACGGUCGUGUAGCGUGUCAGACUUUUAUGCAGGAGACCAAAGCCCGUCACAGACACACAAUUAAUGUUCAAGUUUUCUUUAUUUUUAAUCUUUACCUAGCCCUAUCAAAAUGUUUUAGUUACCAUGGAGUCAUAUAGGCCAUUUUUGCCACACCGAUGAUUUUUUUCCUAACCUUAACCAUAACGUUGUCGUCAUGUAUAGAUAUUACAGAAAGUGACAAUUUUAAAAAGACAUUGGCAUUGGACGUAAAGAAAGAUCUUUGAAGAAGUUGCAUUGCAGUGAGAAACCACACUGCAGAGGCACCCUUCGAAAUUCAGAUUCUAUUUUAAUUAUAAAUUAAUUCUUAAGCUUCUGCCCCUUGUUGCUAAUGUUUCUCUCCUUUCCAUCCAUUCACAACUCAGGUAUCUCUUUACUCAAUGUCCCCCUCUGUGCCCCCCCGUGUUUCUGUUCGCCCACGUUUCCUCAAAGAUGUACUGUAUGUAUAACGAAGGGAGAGAUAAGAAAAAAGUGUUCUCUCUUUUCUGUCCCUGUGAACGCCAUGUGCUCUGUUUUGUGGCUCUUGCCCCCCGCCCCCCUCCUUCAAAAAAUGCAAUUUUGCUUUCCUUGUCCAAAUGUGCUUCCUGUCUUCUCCUUGUGUCGUUCCCUCGUCUCUCCACCCUCUUUCAAUAACUGUGUCCCUCCUCUUGAGAGACACACCAUCCACCCCGCCCCCACCACCCCCCUACCACCCUGAAGUCUCUCACAGCAAAAACCAAAAAAGGAAUUGAGUAUAAUUGGAGCAACUUCGCACCAAGAAAAAAAAAUCAAAGUUUGGCCUAACACGGGAUUUCACCAAGGAGGAAGACAGGAAUGGACUUUUUAAAUGAAUGAAAAACACUGCUGUGAUAUAUCGUAGAUAGGGGAGGAGGGGGAAAAUGUGCUGUGAAAUGAUGUGUUCUGAGUGGAUUGUCAGCCGAGCAGCAUCAGAGGGAGGAGAUGGAGGAGGAAAAAGUUUGGGGAAGACAGAAAAAUGUGGUGAUGAUGAGGAGGAGGAGGAGGAGGAAAGAAAGAAAGAAGCAAAAUCGCUUCUCCAUUGCUGAGUUUCUAAACCCCCUACCCCUUUCUCUACAAGAAGAGGAAAACAAUAAACUUUGAAACCGCUGCUCCUCCAUCUCCCCCGACGGGAUUCACUGUAGAAAACGGGAGGGAGGUAGAGAGAGAGAGAGAGAGAGAGAGAGGGAGAGAAAAAAAAGAAGACGAGUGGUAGAAACCAUCACUGACACUCUGCCCUGAACAUCUUCCAUCAUCUGUGUGACACAUUCAUAUGCAACAUCGCUUGACGAUCCCAACGAAGAAAAUGGUCACGAUCACAUAAAAGCUAUUUCAAGACGGGAGAGAAAACGUUCUCGCCAGGUUUGAACUGAUCUUUCAGAGUAAACCACAGCACGGAUGCUCCCAGCGUAGCAGCCAGAGGGCCUUCUGGCACAUUUGGAUUUGGAAACCAUGCAACAAGGAUGCCCUUCCAUUUUAGUUUUGUCGUCGCUUUACUCUUUUUUUUUUUUAUUUCAAGAAGCUUCGUUCUCAACUGUUGAUUUCCAGUGGAUGUUCCAUUAUUUUGGCAACUCAAAGCACUAUGCAAGGUGAGGGGUGGUCCAUCGUGAUGUCUAUAACGGCUCUGGCAGAGUCGGAUCCAGUGUUGGCGCUGGGCUGCCCGGGAGCCAGGACGCCCUGCUAAUCUCUGCUGAGCUACAGGACCUCUUAACAGCAGGCUGAAAUCUACUCAUACAUAUCAGAAAACAUCAGCCAUAUCACAUGCAUAUUUGACAUGAUCCCAAUACUGUAUUUGAUAUCGUCUGAAUCUAUCCGGGAGACAGUUGACAUCUCGGGACUUCAUGUUCAACUGAUCGGGUUGAAAUACCGAGAUCUCAGCAAAUGUCAAAGAGCCAGUUUUCAUCCACCUCGUGAUGGAAUUAACCCAAAGACAGACAGACAGAGAGACACAUGGAUGGACGUACCGCUGAGGGUGAACAGAAGCCCUCAGAGACAAGAAACUGUCCGUAACGUCUGGUAAAGAAAAGGAGGUGUCACUGAAAACGAAGAUGCGAUUGACCCCUCUUUCUCACUCUCUCUUUCCCUCUCGAGUGUUUACGGUAUCUUGACCGCCCCCCCGCCCCUCCCCCUCCCUGCAUCUCAGCAUCGCUGCUGCUCCUCCUCUUUAGCAAAACUGCAUGGCAUGAAUGAAACCAAUUAAAACCUGAAGAAAGACAGUCAAAGACAUAAUGGAUGGUAUAAAAAAAGGGGGAGGGUGGGGGAAGAGAGAGAACGGAAGGAGUCCAUGAGAGAGACCAUAGAUUUUUUCCACGCUGCAAUGUCAAUGCAAAGUCAUCAUCAUCAUCCAAGCUACUUUUUAACCCCUAAACUGGCUGCUAAUAUGUGCAAAACAGCAUCUCCUGCAGCAAAGUGCUCUCUCAGAAGGCAUGAUGGAUGAGGAGGAGCUCCCUUCCCCCCCUCUCUGAGGGAAAGAGGGAGGGGGCAAGGAGAUUCUGCAGACCAUACACUCUAUACCUCUGGGGAUGUGGGGCAAGAAGAUAGAGGCUUUUAAAGAAAGCAGGUAUUCAGCAGGAGCGGGAGAACAUCUUUGAGAAACUAUUCUAGGGACAAAAAAAAAAAAAAAAAAAAAUGGCAACGAUUGCAAAUUAGAAAUGCAUUUUUAUGACAUUGUUUACCAGCAUGAAUAUUCUGCAUGACUUCUGCAAGCCAUUCUGAUCUCCCCCAUGAAUAACAGGGCUAGAAAUUGAGAAUUUAAACAUGGAAAUUUAACAGAAAUUAUGUUAUAUGCAACAAAUUUAAAAAAAAAAAAGAAACUGUAGGAUUGUUUUUUUUUUCUAAAACAUUUGUUUUUCAAUUUUGUUUUUAAUGAUAAAACACAAAUAAUUAAGAAAAAAGGGUUGCAACAUCUACCCCCUACCCACACACACACACACACACACACACACACACCCCUCUAAAAUCCAAGAAGACUCCCAACUACUGCAAGUAUUUAUUCUGCUACUACAAGUUUGUCUACUACUACUUCUCACCUGACUGCUACUCUGCUUCUCCUUCUUCCUCUUCUUCUUCUUCUUCUUCUUCUCUUUCUUCUUCCUCUUGUAGCCUUUUACCAGAACCCUUAUACGUAACUCUCUCCAAUGGCAGCUGUGUAUGUCUGUGUCACGAUGUGGACCCAGAACUAUCAAACUGAUGUUGAACUGAACUGUGCUGUCCACUCAAGAGAUGUCGUUUAUUCCGUGCAUUUGAAUUGAAAAUGUCUGUUGUCCCAUUCUUUGGAACUUUUUUCUUGACCUUGAUAUCCAACACUACACUUUCAAGUUAUAAGAAAGGGUCAUAGGGUCAAGGAUAAGUCAGGAAAGGUAUACAGGUGAAGGUUUUUAUCCACACAAUGAUCCAGGCAGGUCUGAGAAGGUACAAGAUGGUUGCCUCAUCAUCCAGAGCUGUUGUUCCACAAGCUGAUGUAUUGUUUCUUUUCCCCAAAGAGCAGUUGCUUUUUGGUAAUUUCCUUCUAGAGUCCCUCCAAUGUUAUCAGUUCGGGUUAAGGUUAAAAUCAAUUUCUGUUGUACGGGGUCAGGGUUGGGGGUUAGAAUUAAUUCAUUAUAUAUGCUUAAGAACAUUUGGAGGCUACCAAAAUUCUGUGAGAUUGAAAAAUCCGCAAAAAUCUAAUUUAGUCGAAAAAUAUCUCAAUCAGCCUUAAAAAAAAACAUGUUUAAUUGUAGAUUAUAAACUCUUUUUCUCAUUUUAUGUCAACUAUAUGGUUGCCACAGACCUGACCAAACACAUGGAAAGACAAUUUGUGGUUCAAGAGAUUCAAGGGCUUCAUGGAAACACCUAAAGACUAAAAAAGAAAACAAUGACAAACUGAAGGAUGUCGUCUGCAAAUGUUUGCUCCAGUAGCUUUUUCAUGAUGUAGCUUUACUAAAAUUUGCCCUUUGACUGUCAGAGAAUCACACUAGAAAUAAUGAAUUAACUUAUGUAUUCAAGGGGAUUGAUAAUUUAUUCACCCUUGAGUUAGCUGGAAUGUAGCCACAAUAUUGGCUCAGUUAAAGCUCCCAUAUUGUUCAUGUUUUCAUGCUCUUGUUUUCCAAAGAAAAAUAAUCACUUUCUUCUGGAGUUGCAUGAAAGUGUAGCUUAAUUUAAAGUGUAUUUAUUUACUGAAUGAGGAUGGAAAAUAAGUCAUCGCAAUGUUAAAAAUCUAUCUGGCUGAUAAAACCAACCAACAUGCUGCUGAAAUCAAUGCAACUUACUCCUUCCGGUUAUAGUGGUAUAUAUGAUGUCCUUUGUGGAAAAACCUUCCAUAAAAGUGCAUAAAAAUCCUAAAGGUCUGGCCUAGUAAUCAUCACGCCAAACUAUUUCAAAUUCAUAAAAAGGUUUUUUUUAUUUAACAAACUGUCCCAGAACAUGUAUAGUCCUGCUAACUUUCCAAUUGGUGACAUUUAGUAUCUUAACUUGUUCUUAAAAAAACAGUGUAUGGUAUGUCCAGCUAAAACAUGUAGUAACUAUUCCAUAAGCCUGUAAAUGGAGGGAAAACUGAGCAAAGACAGCCCAAGGUUAAACCAGUAGAGCGGAGGCUUUCCAGUUUAUUAUCCGUGAAUGUGACCCAAUUUGAAAGACCUUAGUAACUGGUUGGUGAGGUAAUAACUCCAAACAAAGUCUCAUUUAAACACUGCUAAUACAACCUGGUGAGAAAACGCAGAGGCCGAAGACGCACGGAAUACAGUACAGUGACCAGCAUUAAUGUAUGAACAGCAGCAGUGGUGAGAGGCAGCCAUCUUGGCUCUAUUUAUUCAAACAGGGUUGGCCAUGUUACCCCCUAUCAUCAGAAACAGUACAAGCAAGGAUGUUCUGCUGGGCUAUGGGGGAAACUAUUUUCUCACAAUCUUCAGACAGAUUUAGAUAAACAGGGAAAUACGCAG